UACGUAGGGGGGCAAGCGUUGUCCGGAUUUAUUGGGCGUAAAGAGCGUGUAGGCGGUCAGGUAGGUCCGUUGUGAAAACUCGAGGCUCAACCUCGAGACGCCGAUGGAAACCAUCUGACUAGAGUCCGGAAGAGGAGAGUGGAAUUCCCGGUGUAGCGGUGAAAUGCGCAGAUAUCAGGAAGAACACCCGUGGCUAAGGCGGCUCUCUAGUACGGUACUGACGCUGAGACGCGAAAGCGUGGGGAUCAAACAGG
RNAcentral lists this ribosomal RNA (254 nucleotides) under uncultured bacterium. RNAcentral describes it as "partial 16S ribosomal RNA". It matches the Rfam family "Bacterial small subunit ribosomal RNA", at positions 524 to 776 of the family's 1533-position model. The record is from RNAcentral.